GAUGAACGCUGGCGGCGUGCCUAAUACAUGCAAGUCGAACGAGUUCUCGUUGAUGAUCGGUGCUUGCACCGAGAUUCAACAUGGAACGAGUGGCGGACGGGUGAGUAACACGUGGGUAACCUGCCCUUAAGUGGGGGAUAACAUUUGGAAACAGAUGCUAAUACCGCAUAGAUCCAAGAACCGCAUGGUUCUUGGCUGAAAGAUGGCGUAAGCUAUCGCUUUUGGAUGGACCCGCGGCGUAUUAGCUAGUUGGUGAGGUAAUGGCUCACCAAGGCGAUGAUACGUAGCCGAACUGAGAGGUUGAUCGGCCACAUUGGGACUGAGACACGGCCCAAACUCCUACGGGAGGCAGCAGUAGGGAAUCUUCCACAAUGGACGCAAGUCUGAUGGAGCAACGCCGCGUGAGUGAAGAAGGCUUUCGGGUCGUAAAACUCUGUUGUUGGAGAAG
Molecule: ribosomal RNA, 448 nt
Filed under: Lacticaseibacillus paracasei
Lineage: Bacteria; Bacillati; Bacillota; Bacilli; Lactobacillales; Lactobacillaceae
Description: bacterial SSU rRNA
Rfam family: Bacterial small subunit ribosomal RNA
Source: RNAcentral